Molecule: ribosomal RNA, 253 nt
Filed under: uncultured bacterium
Lineage: Bacteria
Description: partial 16S ribosomal RNA
Rfam family: Bacterial small subunit ribosomal RNA
Source: RNAcentral
UACAGAGGGUGCGAGCGUUGUCCGGAAUCACUGGGCGUAAAGGGUGCGUAGGUGGCUUGGUAAGCGUGUGGUGAAAGUCCGGGGCUCAACCCCGGAUCUGCCGUGCGAACUGCUGAGCUCGAGCAAUGUAGAGGCAGGUGGAAUUUCGGGUGUAGCGGUGGAAUGCGUAGAGAUCCGAAAGAACACCAGUGGCGAAGGCGGCCUGCUGGGCAUUUGCUGACACUGAGGCACGACAGCGUGGGGAGCAAACAGG